UAUGAUUUAGUUUAAUUUAAAAUAUCUAAUUGUCAGUUAGUAGGUGAUUCUUC
This 53-nucleotide transfer RNA is filed under the name Dugesia ryukyuensis. RNAcentral describes it as "tRNA-Asp". The record is from RNAcentral. Lineage: Eukaryota; Metazoa; Platyhelminthes; Tricladida; Dugesiidae.